GGACGAGUGGGUGAGCGGCUGAAACCACAUCCCUGCUAAGGAUGCGUACUGGUAACGGUACCGAGAGUUCGAACCUCUCCUCGUCCACCA
This 90-nucleotide transfer RNA is filed under the name bacterium. RNAcentral describes it as "tRNA-Ser". It matches the Rfam family "tRNA". From Rfam's summary of the family: Transfer RNA (tRNA) molecules are approximately 80 nucleotides in length. Their secondary structure includes four short double-helical elements and three loops (D, anti-codon, and T loops). The record is from RNAcentral. RNAcentral also lists the same sequence under 3 other names.